RNAcentral lists this ribosomal RNA (449 nucleotides) under uncultured Glomus. RNAcentral describes it as "SSU rRNA". It matches the Rfam family "Eukaryotic small subunit ribosomal RNA", at positions 569 to 1025 of the family's 1831-position model. The record is from RNAcentral. Lineage: Eukaryota; Fungi; Glomeromycota; Glomeromycetes; Glomerales; Glomeraceae.
AGCAGCCGCGGUAAUUCCAGCUCCAAUAGCGUAUAUUAAAGUUGUUGCAGUUAAAAAGCUCGUAGUUGAAUUUCGGGGUUAGUAGGUUGGUCGUGCCACUGGUACGUACUGGUCUCACUGACUCCUCCUUCCUGAUGAACUGUAAUGCCAUUAAUUUGGUGUUGCGGGGAAACUGGACUGUUACCUUGAAAAAUUAGAGUGUUUAAAGCAAGCUAACGCUUGAAUACAUUAGCAUGGAAUAAUGAAAUAGGACGUUCGAUCCUAUUUUGUUGGUUUCUAGGAUUGACGUAAUGAUUAAUAGGGAUAGUUGGGGGCAUUAGUAUUCAGUUGUCAGAGGUGAAAUUCUUGGACUUAUUGAAGACUAACUACUGCGAAAGCAUUUGCCAAGGAUGUUUCAUUAAUCAAGAACGAAAGUUAGGGAUCGAAGACGAUCAGAUACCGUCGUAGUC